AGCAGCCGCGGUAAUUCCAGCUCCAAUAGCGUAUAUUAAAGUUGUUGCAGUUAAAAGCUCGUAGUUGAAUUUCGGGAUUUGUCAGUUGGUCGGGCUUCACUGUCCGUACUGACUUGAUGGAUUCUUACCUUCUGAAUAACCAGCAUGCUAUUAAGUUAGUGCGUUGGGGAAGCAGAUCUAUUACCUUGAAAAAUUAGAGUGCUUAAAGCGGGCUAGUGCUUGAAUAGAUUAGCAUGGAAUAAUAAAAUAGGACGGCAUGGUUCUAUUUUGUUGGUUUCUAGGAUCACCGUAAUGAUUAAUAGGGAUAGUUGGGGGCAUUAGUAUUCAAUUGUCAGAGGUGAAAAUUCUUGGAUUUAUUGAAGACUAACUUCUGCGAAAGCAUUUGCCAAGGAUGUUUUCAUUAAUCAAGAACGAAGUUAGGGGAUCGAAGACGAUCAGAUACCGUCGUAGUCUUAGCCAUAAACUAUGCCGACUAGGAAUCGGACGAUGUUAAUUUAUAAUGACUCGUUCGGCACCUUAC
RNAcentral lists this ribosomal RNA (520 nucleotides) under uncultured Acaulospora. Its description in RNAcentral is "SSU rRNA". It matches the Rfam family "Eukaryotic small subunit ribosomal RNA", at positions 569 to 1091 of the family's 1831-position model. Lineage: Eukaryota; Fungi; Glomeromycota; Glomeromycetes; Diversisporales; Acaulosporaceae. The record is from RNAcentral.